Molecule: ribosomal RNA, 304 nt
Filed under: uncultured bacterium
Lineage: Bacteria
Description: partial 16S ribosomal RNA
Rfam family: Bacterial small subunit ribosomal RNA
Source: RNAcentral
CAGCAGUCGCCGCGGGAAUACGAAGGGGGCUAGCGUUGCUCGGAAUUACUGGGCGUAAAGGGAGCGUAGGCGGACAUUUAAGUCAGGGGUGAAAUCCCAGAGCUCAACUCUGGAACUGCCUUUGAUACUGGGUGUCUUGAGUGUGAUAGAGGUAUGUGGAACUCCGAGUGUAGAGGUGAAAUUCGUAGAUAUUCGGAAGAACACCAGUGGCGAAGGCGACAUACUGGAUCAUUACUGACGCUGAGGCUCGAAAGCGUGGGGAGCAAACAGGAUUAGAUACCCCUGUAGUCCCUGUCUCUUAUAC